GCAUCUUCUCGGCCUUCGUGGCUAAGAUCAAGUGUAGUAUCUGUUCUUAUCAGCUUAAUCUCUGGUAGUGAGGCCAAUGUGCCUCACGACUCAAGAUUAGACUUAUUUCUUGUGGGCGCCCUGGCACCAAGUCCCCUGCAGCUGUGCUGUGGGGCGGUCCAGGGAGCAGCGAUCGGCUUCACACUGCACACCAGUGAAGUUUUUUAAACGGUCCACCCUCC
RNAcentral lists this small nuclear RNA (221 nucleotides) under Acanthamoeba castellanii str. Neff. RNAcentral's name for it is "U2 spliceosomal RNA". It matches the Rfam family "U2 spliceosomal RNA". Rfam says of the family: U2 is a small nuclear RNA (snRNA) component of the spliceosome (involved in pre-mRNA splicing). Complementary binding between U2 snRNA (in an area lying towards the 5' end but 3' to hairpin I) and the branchpoint sequence (BPS) of the intron results the bulging out of an unpaired adenosine, on the BPS, which initiates a nucleophilic attack at the intronic 5' splice site, thus starting the first of two transesterification reactions that mediate splicing. The record is from Rfam by way of RNAcentral. Lineage: Eukaryota; Discosea; Longamoebia; Acanthamoebidae.